RNAcentral lists this small RNA (83 nucleotides) under Marmota monax (woodchuck). Lineage: Eukaryota; Metazoa; Chordata; Mammalia; Rodentia; Sciuridae. The record is from RNAcentral.
GCCAGGCAUGGUGGUGCAUGCCUGUAAUCUCAGCAGCAUGGGAGGCUGAGGCAGGAGGAUUGUGAGUUCAAAGCCAGCCUCAG